This 419-nucleotide ribosomal RNA is filed under the name uncultured bacterium. RNAcentral describes it as "bacterial SSU rRNA". It matches the Rfam family "Bacterial small subunit ribosomal RNA", at positions 144 to 559 of the family's 1533-position model. The record is from RNAcentral.
UAACGUAGCGAAAGUUACGCUAAUACCGCAUAUCUGUGAGCAGGAAAGCAGGGGAUCGCAAGACCUUGCGCUCUGGGAGCGGCCGAUGUCGGAUUAGCUAGUUGGUGGGGUAAAGGCCUACCAAGGCGACGAUCCGUAGCGGGUCUGAGAGGAUGAUCCGCCACACUGGGACUGAGACACGGCCCAGACUCCUACGGGAGGCAGCAGUGGGGAAUUUUGGACAAUGGGCGGAAGCCUGAUCCAGCCAUGCCGCGUGAGUGAAGAAGGCCUUCGGGUUGUAAAGCUCUUUCGGCCGGGAAGAAAUCGCAUGGGUCAAUACCCUGUGUGGAUGACGGUACCGGAAUAAGAAGCACCGGCUAACUACGUGCCAGCAGCCGCGGUAAUACGUAGGGUGCGAGCGUUAAUCGGAAUUACUGGGC